AGGGAAUCAGCGCAACUUUUCAAAAAGACCUCACCCCACCGGUCGUCUUCUACAAACGACCCACACACGAAACUCCUUCUUCUGCUGGAAUGAAAAUCACAGACCCUGAAGAUGGAGAACAAUGAAAAACAUAUGACAAUGACCUAAAGGUUCAACCGCAGAACAAUACAGAUACCCCCCAUCCCUGCAUCGUCUUCUCUGAACCCCCCUCCCCACCAUAGACUGAUCUUCCUCAGUCGCUGGACACCAGGAAACGACCCCCUCCCUGGAACUCCCAGUUGGUUUCUAUACAAACGACCCCUCCAAUUUUUCUGCCUCACCACUUCCGUCGUCUCCCAGCACACCCAUCAAAACCAGACUUAACGCCUAAGAUGAUUUCUGUCGCCGACUAAAGUUUCGUCCGUUCGAGGUUGCGAAUCUGGUCCGAGUUUCGUCGUUUGGCACUUCAUUAUGACUGUGUAAUUGCUGAAAUUUCAGUUGAAUGAAGCUUUAAUUUCAGAUGCUCUGAAUGGCCGAUUCAUUUGCUUGGCUAGUCGAUUGUUAAUUUUGGUUCGUAUAUGCUUCGUCGCCAUUAAUCUCGAUUAGCAUCGUUUGGACUGAUGAUUGAAUAGUUAGCGUCUUUUUCGCCACUACUUCUUCUUUGCCGAUCGAAAUUCUAGCAAGCUCGAGCUCCAAGCAUCUCAGGUCUUUCUUUUCUCUCUCGUAUUUCAAUAUACUCGCUAGUACUUCAUCCUUUCUCCCUGCUGCCCGGACUUCUGUAACAUUUUUAUUCUUGUUGGGUUAAUCUCUUGUCGAGAUUUUUGUUGUUUUUGAGAGUGUAACUGCUAAUGGCUAUUGUUGGGUGAUUAUUGAAUCCCAAUUCGAUGGUUAAGUUUUGGCUAAGGUAUAGCUUUAUGGGGGCUUAGAGAAACGAAGUUUCAGUUAUGCACAUAAGGUGCUUGUGGAAACGAUUGACCGAACUCAAUCAACAUGGAUUCUUUGAGUUUUAUUUUUGCGCAAUAUGUGGUGUUUUGAAGCUUAAUUCUUGUUGAUCUCUCACUGUUAAGGUACUGUAAUUGAGGUCGAGCUUUGAAUUGUGUUGAUCCCUGUUUAAUCGAUGUCAAAUUGUGUGCAAAGUUGAGCAUUUGAGUCAGAUUGAAUGAGCUAAUUAUGUGUCUGAUGACAUGUGAUUGCUAUUCACUUAUUUGUUGGAAAAAGAUUAAAACCUAUAAUCAUUGCUUUCGUUUACUUGAUUUGCUUUCAUGUUGUGGCUAUAAUUUUGUAAUAUUGAAGCAUAUUUUAAUGUUGUCGACAAUUAGUGUGGAUUUGAAGUUCGAUUGGUAUUGUUUUGAGCGAUUGAUUCGUUGGGGUUGAGUUAAGGUAGUCAUGGCACGACUUUAUCAAUUUCAUUUGAAUAAGUUGCAUAAAUCAUGUGUCUUCCCACAUUGUUUUCCACAAAGACCUUUGCAUCGAACCUCAAAGUACCGUAGGCUUAAUCAUGAACACCGUAGAUCUUUAGGUUGAGGCGUGCCAUGCCAAACAAAAUCUCCAACCCCAUGGCCCUCCAUUAAUUAUUUUAACUUCUUAGAAAUCGAAGCAUGCCAUUUAGUUGAAUUUUCCAUGGCCCUCGCAAAGUUGAAAGGCGUAGUCGCUUUAGGCGCGUUAUUUUAAUAAUUUACCUUCCUAAACUUGGGUGCGCAUUUAUGUGACCCAAAUCCAAAUCUCAACAACGUUGGAUAAAAUGUGUCGGGGCCCGCGGGUGCAUUUAUGUGACGUGGUUCAAGACGUAUUUUAAAUGACGUUGCAAUCUUCCUUAAAAAUAAUUAAACAAAGUGGUUAAAAUUAAAAUUGAAGCAUAGGCUAAAACAUGUAUUAAAAUCAGAUAAUAGGCCUAAUAUAAUAGUUGAGCGACAGUGCUAAAACAACGGAACUUGGGAAUGUCUAACACCUUCUCCCGGAUUAACAGAAUUCCUUACUCGGAUUUCUGGUUCGCGGACUAUAAAACAGAGUCAAUCUUUUCCUCGAUUCGGGAUUUGAACCGGUGACUUGGGACACCAUAAAUUAUCCCAAGUGGCGACUCUAAAUUUUACAUAAAAAUAAUUCCGUUUCGAUUGUCACUUAUAUGGGAAAAACUCCCUUAUAUACUCCCUUACGGGGAGUAGGUAAAAAGGAGGUGUGACAGCUCUGGCAACUCUGCUGGGGAUCGAACCCAGAAUCUCUGGUUCAGGGUUCAAAAUUCGAGCUUAGAUAAAUUGUUAUAAUUGGCUUUAUUUAUUAUCUGAUUUUGUUGCAUGUUUGGGCCUAAUGUGCUAAAUGUUGCUUUUACCGCUUUGAUAUUAUCUGAACUGUAUAUAAACUGUUACGAAACCCUUCUCUUCUCAUCUUUGGGGAUGUGNCCCCCUCCUCGGCUCGAGUUGUCCACUCGAGUACACAAGUCUAGAACAAAUACCCAGGUUUUGAACCUAGAAUAACUCAGCUUCAUGCCGGAUCCCUAGUAAGAACGUUUGUUUGUAUCAUGUGCACUUGACAUAGGGGACUCAACACAGGGGUUGGGUCCGUCUAGGACAGGUAUACCCCAAAAACUAAAAGACCAUCCUGAUGCAUCUUAUAUGCUACAUAUUGCAUUUAUUCAAGGGUAAAAGGGUCAUUUGGCGGACCAAUGAUAGCUGAGGGUAGAUGAAGAAAUGAAAAAAAAAUUAAAAAAGAAAGAAGAAAGAAAAAAAAAAGAAAAAGAGAGGGUGAAGUGUGAAGAUAAAGCGAGUGGGGCCCAAUUAUGUUUUUUGUCACAUUUUUGUUAAGGAAACAAAAAUGCUUGAAAAUUUUAAAAAAAAAAGAUUUUGCACGUUUUCAUCAUUUUCCGAAAAUCAGAAAAUCAAAAAAAAAAAGGAAAAAAAAUCCAAAAAGAGUUUACAUGUUUCAUCAUUCUUCAAAAAAAACAUAUUUCCUCUAAAUUAGUUGUUAUUUUGAUUUCUUGCUCGUAUCCUAUCUGCCCGAAUUACGCAUACCUGAUUCUCGUCUUUCGGGACGUGAUACGUAGGCAACCCACAUAAGGUCCGGUCUUCCUAGUAAAUCUUAGGUUCUUGGUUUUGCGGGGUCUUAGCCAAAUUUUGCACUUCUAGCCACCUUUUGGCCAAAUAAACCAUUUUGCAAAAAUAGCCUCAAUCAUGUCUUGCAUGUGUCUUAGGGAAUGUUAUUGUCUCACAUAGUGUUGGUUUAAGUUUUCUUAUACAGGUGUGGAUUUACUUACUGGAGUUUUGGCAUGACAGAUACCCCAGGAUCACUGCAUUCAGGAGUUGCUUGAGGAGAUUUGUUUUAUUUUUAAGUUUUGAGUCUGUUCUUCAUUUAAUGUCGUCUUUUACUUUCUACUUUUAUACAGUAAUGUCAAGUCCUUUGUUAUUGUUAUUUUCUGCUUUAUAUAUUGAAAAAAUGUGUUGUAAC
This 3417-nucleotide long non-coding RNA is filed under the name Nicotiana tabacum (common tobacco). RNAcentral describes it as "long non-coding RNA (NTAB_LNC007077)". Lineage: Eukaryota; Viridiplantae; Streptophyta; Magnoliopsida; Solanales; Solanaceae. The record is from RNAcentral.